UCCCUGGUGGCUCAGAGGUUAAAGCGUCUUGCCUGCAAUGCAAGAGACCCGGGUUCGAUCUCUGGGUUGGGAA
This is a non-coding RNA of Bos taurus (domestic cattle), 73 nucleotides long. The record is from Rfam. NCBI's taxonomy places the organism in Eukaryota, Metazoa, Chordata, Mammalia, Artiodactyla, Bovidae.